RNAcentral lists this ribosomal RNA (433 nucleotides) under uncultured bacterium. RNAcentral describes it as "partial 16S ribosomal RNA". It matches the Rfam family "Bacterial small subunit ribosomal RNA", at positions 29 to 507 of the family's 1533-position model. The record is from RNAcentral.
AACGAACGCUGGCGGCAUGCCUAACACAUGCAAGUCGAACGAGACCUUCGGGUCUAGUGGCGCACGGGUGCGUAACGCGUGGGAACCUGCCCUUAGGUUCGGAAUAACUCCCCGAAAGGGGUGCUAAUACCGGAUAAUGUCUUCGGACCAAAGAUUUAUCGCCUUUGGAUGGGCCCGCGUUGGAUUAGCUAGUUGGUAGGGUAAAAGCCUACCAAGGCGACGAUCCAUAGCUGGUCUGAGAGGAUGAUCAGCCACACUGGGACUGAGACACGGCCCAGACUCCUACGGGAGGCAGCAGUGGGGAAUAUUGGACCAUGGGCGAAAGACUGAUCCAGCAAUGCCGCGUGAGUGAUGAAGGCCUUAGGGUUGUAAAGCUCUUUUAACCGGGAUGAUAAUGACAGUACCGGGAGAAUAAGCUCCGGCUAACUCCGUG